UCUCGAUUAGCUCAGUUGGCUAGAGCGCAUGGCUGUUAACCAUGAGGUCGUAAGUUCGAACCUUACAUCGAGAG
Non-coding RNA from Coccomyxa sp. Obi, 74 nucleotides. NCBI's taxonomy places the organism in Eukaryota, Viridiplantae, Chlorophyta, Trebouxiophyceae, Coccomyxaceae. The record is from the annotation of a GenBank genome assembly.